Molecule: ribosomal RNA, 497 nt
Filed under: uncultured bacterium
Lineage: Bacteria
Description: partial 16S ribosomal RNA
Rfam family: Bacterial small subunit ribosomal RNA
Source: RNAcentral
GAUGAACGCUGGCGGCGUGCCUAAUACAUGCAAGUCGAGCGAACAGACGAGGAGCUUGCUCCUUCGACGUUAGCGGCGGACGGGUGAGUAACACGUAGGUAACCUACCUAUAAGACUGGGAUAACUUCGGGAAACCGGAACUAAUACCGGAUAAUAUUUCGAACCGCAUGGUUCGAUAGUGAAAGAUGGCUUUGCUAUCACUUAUAGAUGGACCUGCGCCGUAUUAGCUAGUUGGUAAGGUAACGGCUUACCAAGGCAACGAUACGUAGCCGACCUGAGAGGGUGAUCGGCCACACUGGAACUGAGACACGGUCCAGACUCCUACGGGAGGCAGCAGUAGGGAAUCUUCCGCAAUGGGCGAAAGCCUGACGGAGCAACGCCGCGUGAGUGAUGAAGGUCUUCGGAUCGUAAAACUCUGUUAUUAGGGAAGAACAAACGUGUAAGUAACUGUGCACGUCUAGACGGUACCUAAUCAGAAAGCCACGGCUAACUACGUG